UACGUAGGUGGCGAGCGUUGUCCGGAAUUACUGGGUGUAAAGCGCGUGUAGGCGGCAGGCCAAGUCGGUGGUGAAAGCGCCCGGCUCAACUGGGCGAGGUCCAUGGAAACUGGUCAGCUGGAGGACGGUAGAGGCGAGUGGAAUUCCCGGUGUAGUGGUGAAAUGCGCAGAUAUCAGGAAGAACACCAAUGGCGAAAGCAGCUUUCUGGGACGGUACUGACGCUGAGACGCGAAAGCGUGGGGAGCGAACAGG
Molecule: ribosomal RNA, 253 nt
Filed under: uncultured bacterium
Lineage: Bacteria
Description: partial 16S ribosomal RNA
Rfam family: Bacterial small subunit ribosomal RNA
Source: RNAcentral